Non-coding RNA from Paramuricea clavata, 97 nucleotides. The record is from the annotation of a GenBank genome assembly. Lineage: Eukaryota; Metazoa; Cnidaria; Anthozoa; Malacalcyonacea; Plexauridae.
AAAAGUUGAUCGUGGUUAUGAUGUCGAAUAUCGACGUCAUAAACACCAAAGAUGAUCGUGUUUAUGACGUCGAAUAUCGACGUCAUAAACACCAAAG